Molecule: small RNA, 28 nt
Filed under: Bombyx mori (domestic silkworm)
Lineage: Eukaryota; Metazoa; Arthropoda; Insecta; Lepidoptera; Bombycidae
Description: ovarian small RNA-22862
Source: RNAcentral
UAGUAAUCACUCUAAUGCCAACAAAUAU